GUAUUAAGUUUUAAAAGGCACAAAAGGCCAAAUAAAUUAACAUUCUAUCACUUGUUUUGGAGUAUAAUGUAUAAAACAUAGACCUGAAUUGCAAGAACAGCCGAUAUUACGCAGCAGUUCUCAAACCGAGUUUCCCUCGGAAAAAGUUUCAUUCAGGCCUACAGUAUGUGCACAGGUGGUUAAAAAAUGGAGUGAGCGUGCACAUGCUCCCUAGAGAACCAGCAACAACCCAUCAGGUUUAUUUCAAUAAUGAUCCUUCCGCAGGUUCACCUACGGAAA
This 279-nucleotide unclassified non-coding RNA is filed under the name uncultured fungus. Its description in RNAcentral is "sequence contains ITS1". The record is from RNAcentral. Lineage: Eukaryota; Fungi.